GUAUCCAAGCCGGGUGAUUGGUCCGCCUGAAAAGCGGAAGGUCGGCGGUUCGAGCCUGUCCCUGGCCA
This 68-nucleotide transfer RNA is filed under the name Streptosporangium saharense. RNAcentral describes it as "tRNA-OTHER". The stretch from base 8 to 68 matches the Rfam family "tRNA". From Rfam's summary of the family: Transfer RNA (tRNA) molecules are approximately 80 nucleotides in length. Their secondary structure includes four short double-helical elements and three loops (D, anti-codon, and T loops). Further hydrogen bonds mediate the characteristic L-shaped molecular structure. tRNAs have two regions of fundamental functional importance: the anti-codon, which is responsible for specific mRNA codon recognition, and the 3' end, to which the tRNAs corresponding amino acid is attached (by aminoacyl-tRNA synthetases). tRNAs cope with the degeneracy of the genetic code in two manners: having more than one tRNA (with a specific anti-codon) for a particular amino acid; and 'wobble' base-pairing, i.e. permitting non-standard base-pairing at the 3rd anti-codon position. The record is from RNAcentral. Lineage: Bacteria; Bacillati; Actinomycetota; Actinomycetes; Streptosporangiales; Streptosporangiaceae.